RNAcentral lists this long non-coding RNA (9453 nucleotides) under Nicotiana tabacum (common tobacco). RNAcentral describes it as "long non-coding RNA (NTAB_LNC009048)". The record is from RNAcentral. Lineage: Eukaryota; Viridiplantae; Streptophyta; Magnoliopsida; Solanales; Solanaceae.
ACAUCAUCAUUUUUACCCUUAGUCUCUUUACAGCUAGUUCUAACAUGGGAUUAUUAUUAAGCAAUGUAACACUAAAAUGUAUAGCCAAAACUAAAGAAAAACUGAAACAACAUGCCUUUCGACUGAAUCUUUUAUCCACAUCAUCUCAAAAGUCCCAAAUCAAAUACAAUAAAACAAAUUCCACCAGCUAAACCAGAAAUUCAUUAAGAAGACAAUGAACUAAAGCUAAUAAAAAAACAUCAUACAACAAAGAGAUAGAACUGAAUUCAUAAAAUGGAACUGAAAACAUGUUUUGAAUUCUAGAUUUUCAUUUCAUUCUUCAAUUCAAGCUUCACCCGAGGUAGAACCAAAGAUUGUGUACCUGAUUACAGCAAAUGGAAACAAGUGAAAUAAGCUGAAAAGUGAAACAGCAAGAGUAGAAGCAGCAAUGAAAUAGUAACCAGCAAUAGCAAAGCUCAAACCCAGAUUUUCCAGUCCCAAAAAUCAAACCAUAUCUUCAGCAAAGCUCAAGCCAAGAAAUGCAGAAAAAUUCAGUGUUUUUCUCAAUUUCAACCGCUCGGUUUUUAGGAAUUUUUAUCUCUUCAUUUCUGCCUUGGGCUUGAAGAAAAGGAUCCCUUUAUAGGCUAGGUACUAGGGCUGCAGAAAUAAGCUAAGUUUUUGCACCUAAAUUCUUUUGAAAUUUUUAUUUUUGCUUAAAUGUCCUUGGCUUAAAAACUCAGUUUUCACAUAAGCCCCAAAGACAGCUUCUAGGAAGAUUCCCCCAGUUAGUUACCAGAGAUUCUUUCACCUAGAGUUUCUAAAUUACCCCUUGAAACCAUGUUAAUUACCCCAGAAAUCUUAUGGGUCAAAUUUGACCCAAAGAUUCUAACAAAAUCUGGGCUAAACCCUUUUCUUUGGCGUAGGUCCAAACAAGAAAUUCGGAAGAAUUGAGAAGGCAGAAAAAUAGAAGGGCAAUUCGGAUUUCAAUUAGACUUCUGAACCAAAUGCUCUCAAUCGGCCCAAAACUAAAAGGAACAGUCAAACAAACUAAACUAACGAAUUCAAACAAGACUGAAGAAGCUAAUAACUAACAUUAAUCCUAAAUUAAAAGAAACACGUGCAGAGAUAAUUUUGAGAAUAUAGAAAAAAAAAAGGAAAAUAGAAGAAGAUAUGAAAAGAAAUGAAAAUGAGAGAACACUGAAAUUACCUAUCAAACCAGACGAACACAAGUCUUGAACUAAUUAUCAAAGAAUCUUUGAUUUUUUUGGCCGAGAUAGACCUUAAUCGUGUGUUCUUGACUGAAAACCCACGACUAAAGUCGAUUUCAACCUCAAAUCUUCAAUUAAACUCACUAAUUUGAGUUUUGGGAAUUUAGGGUUCAUGUCUUCAAAUUAAGAUUUGAGGGGUUCAAGUUUGAUUCGAGGGAAACGGAGUGAGGAUUUGGAACGAGGGGGCCUAGGAGAUGUGUGGUGUUAAUUUGGGGUUAUUUGGGACCCGCGUUACCACCGGUGAAUGGGGAAAUUGAGGGUGACGCUCUAGGGUUUUCUGGUGUGGUCUCUGAGAGUGAAAAGAUGAGAGAGAUGAGACAGGGUGGGUGCAAGGGUUCAGACACUUUUAUAGUAAUACAGGCCUUAAUUCCGGAUCGUUAGAUCAAAAGAGAUAAAUAGUCCUGAUCCUAUCAAUUGAAACGGCGUCGUUUGGCUUAAUAGUGGGGCAGACCUAUUUUGGAAUGGGUUUUGGGCCGGUUCUAACGGGUUUAGCGGGGUAUUUUGGUUUGGGCUUGGGAAUUUCGAGACUUGGCCAAAAAAUCUGAAUUCUCCAAUUCCUUUCUUUUUCUUUUCUUUUACUUUUAUUCCGAAAUUCUUUUUUUUUCUUUUUCCAAUAUUAAAAAACACUAAAUUAAUUCUUAAUACAAAUUAUCGCAACUAACUAAAUACAAAAUUAAAGGAAAACUAACAAAAUUCAAAGCAAAAAAUUAAACCAUGCAAAAUAAAUCAUUCUUGUGAUUUUUAUAUUUUUAUAAAACACUAAUUACUAAUUAGUCUAAAAAAUGUAAAAUUAAACCUAAAUGAAAAUGCAACAUAUUUUUUUGUAUUUUUAUGAAUUAAAUAAAACAUGCACACAAAAUACAAACAAACAAGAAAAUUCUAAAAUAAUUCCUAAAAAUAAAAAAUAAUUAAAAGAAAAAAAAUCUAAUUUUGGAAUUCUGUAGGAGUAAUUCAUGUGAGGCAAAAAUCACGUGCUCACAGUUGCCCCUCUUUGCUCGGAGACACGAAGGGUUUUCGGGAAAAGAUAAAAUGAGCAAUCAAGAGGGAUUUUUGCCCGUUCGACACUCCAUGAGAAACAUUUUUGAAAAGAGUCUGAUCGAACCUUGCUUCAAAGGUUGCCUAAAUAUCCUUGGCUAUAAAGAAAUCAGGUUAGUGUAGUUCUGGAAGUUUUGGUAGAUGGGACUACCGGGAAGCUAUGAUUUCACUAUUGUUGCUACUGCUACUGCUUGCUGAACUCCUUAUUACACCAAAAUGGAAAAUAAAAAACUAAGCUAGCUAAGCAUAUCAACUACGAGUUACAAGAAUCCUAUCUAUAAAUCUCUUGAAGCUUGAUCUUGAGUCUUAGUUGGUUCUUACUGUGGACUCCGAUCUGAAUCUUGAUGCUCGUUAGAUGCAACUGCUGGUUCAUUCUUCAGUUUUUGGAUCGAGGCGGGACAUGCAAAACUUGUGACUUCAAUCCAGUUUUGAGCAAUCCGCAUCCUUAUCCACUUCGGCACUUUGAGUUCACUUCUUUUUGUUCUUUUUCCUCUUUUCUUUAUUCUGGAUUGAGACUUAUUCUUUUGUUCAUCUCUACUUUUGUGCCUCAAGAUCAACAUGCCCAAACACCAAUACAAACAAACGAACAAAAUUAUUCUGCCCCAAUUUUUACUACGAAAAUUUCGUGAGUUAUCUGCAACACAAAUCUAAGUUAUUUCUUUGAAUGCAAUAAAAAUUAGGAUUGUAUAUUCUAGAGAAUAGGGAGUGAAGCCCUAAAUUGGGAAGAUUGCCAGAUUAUGUUGGAAAGAUGACCGGAUUGUGCCAGAAAAGAAAAAGGGUAAAAUAAGGUCCCCGGGUUAUGCCGGAGAAAAGGAAAAAGGUCAUUGGGUUAUGCCGGGGAGGUCCACGGGUUAUGCCGGGAGAAAAGAAAAAAGGUCCUUGGGUUAUGCCAGAGAGGUUCGCGGGUUAUGCCGGGAGAAAAGGAAAACGGUCCCCGGGUUAUGCCGGGGAGGUCCACGGGUUAUGCCGAGAGAAAAGGAAAAAGGUCCCUGGGUUAUGCUGGGGAGGUCCACGGGUUAUGCCGGGAGAAAUGAAAACCGUCCCCGGGUUAUGCAGGAAGAAAAGAAAAGGGUCCCCGGGUUAUGUCGGGGAGGUUCCCGGGUUAUGCCAGGAGAAAAGGAAAAAAGGUCCCUGGAUUAUGCCAGGGAGGUCCACGGGUUUUGUCAAGAGAAAAGGAAAAAAGGUCCUCGGGUAUGCUGGGAGAAAAGGAAAAAGGUCGUCGGGCUAUGCCGGGAAUGUCCACGGGUUAUGCUGGGAGAAAAGAAAAAAAGGUCCUUGGUUAUGCCAGGGAGGUCCGCUGGAUAUCCCGGGAGAAAAGGAAAAGGUCCUCGGGAUAUGCCGGGGAGGUCCACGGGUUAUGCCGGGAGAAAAUGAAAAAUGUCCCUGGGUUAUGCCAUGGAGUUCCACGGGUUAUGCAGGGGAUAACUAGGGAAUGGGGCCCUAUCUUGGAAGGAUGCAGCUAGAGAUUGGAGGCCAUAUGCUACCAUGAUUUUGAAAUUUCCUUUUUUUAGUUUAAAAAAAUGAGUAAAAAUUCAGGAAAGAAUUUGAAGAAGACUUCCUUUUGGAUUGAUUAUUGCUGCAAAGCUAUUUCUAGCUCUUGCGAAUUUUCCUUUUGGUUGUACCUUCUUCUUGUAUGAUUGCUUUGGAUUGUACCUAUUUCAAUUUUUCAAACAAAGAACAAUUUGUUAGUUUGAAACGCUUGUUGGAUUUGUGGCCUUGGGCGCUUUAGUCACUUGAUUUCAACGCGGCUUCUUUGAUGAAGAUCUCAACUACAACUGCUUGUUUCCUGAGGACCGAUUUCAUUUCAGGCCAUGGAGAACCCCUUAUUUUUCUAGACUUUGCCAUACGAUUGGUCUGUGGAACUCAACCUUAUCGAUUUCAUUUUGUCCUCAUACGCCAUUCCCUUUUGACUCCUUUUUUUUACCCUUUUUUUUAACUUCGGAGCAUUGGGGAACCUUUGGCUCCUCAAACAUUGCAGCAAUGGCAAGUCGCGUUGGACUCCAACUUUGUUUCGCCUUCAUAGGCCUAUCAUUUAUGGAUUCUUUCUUCUGACUUCAAUUUCAGAGUAUUUGGGAUCCCUUGGCUUUUCAAAUCUUCGUCGAGACAGUUAGCCACGUAUGACUUAACCUUUUUCACAUUUAUUUGCCUUUAUAGGCACUUCAAUUUGAUUUUCUCCUUCCGAGAGUUUUGGUUUCGAAAAGGUCGACUUGAUGCACUCGAUGAGACUUGGUACUUUCUUUAGAUUUGGCUUUUAUUAAGCGGGACCCUGUAAAACCAAUCUUGCCAACUUUUCUUUGUAUUAGUUUCGGAAACAGAGUUAGACCGAAAGGGAUUCAAGGAAAAGUAAACAAAGGACAAAAAAAUUAAUUUAAAGAGAAGUGUCCCUUUCGGGGAGGAAAGGAGGACUUAUCUGGGGUGCAUGCAGACGUCAAUAGACAUGACAUGCUUCUUGACUAGGUGCCAAAUCCGCACAAACUAAUCCAACUUUUCAUAAACCCAUUGCGGCCCUUGUUUCAAAAUCGAGAAACCUUGCCAGGACUCUUUCAAUACCAAUGGUGUUGAGGGGUUUCUUUGUUUCGAUCAACGACGCCUUUUGCAGGUUUUUGCCAAUCGACCUCUCUCAUUUUUCUUCUUACCAUUGCCUUAUAGUGCUAUUUUAUGAGUUUUCACUAACAAGACUCUUUCAUUUUCAAUUUCUCUGCUCACCAUCGCAUCACGGUGCCCAUAGGUUUUCACCAAUAAGACUCCCUCAUUUUAUUUCUCUCAUUUUAACUGCAUCAGAUCUAAAUAACUGCGUUUUUUCCGAUUUUUUUUUGAAAACCUUUCGUCGAUUAAUCGGAAGGAUUUGAACAAGGUUUGGGGUAACAAGAAAUGGGAUAGAAUUACAACUUUGGAACAGUCCAGGUGGGAUCAUCGCCGAACCACUAUAACAUCUGCCCUAGUUUCACUUUCGGGGAGGGGGAACUAGAUUUUUAUUUUGUUGUGACUGAACCCCAGAGAGAGGCUGCCUACGUAUCCUUUCAGAAUCAAGUCGAACGUAGUUCAGGGAAAACAUUAUAUUUUUGUUUUUGUUUUUGUUUUUGUUUUUUGUUUUUUUAUUACAAAAUCUUCAAGUUCCAAAGAGGGUAAUGAAAGAAAUAUAACCAGCUCAAAGGGUUUAGUAAAAGAUUGGAGUGUUUGGGGGUAACGAGAAUGAAACCCUUCGUCAUACCAAUCAAGAAAUGCUAUUGUUGCAGAAGGUUUAGACGUAAUACCAUUUGACUGCAUCUGCAUUCACCUGCAUUCACAGCUGUUUCAGGGUCAUUCCCUUUAAUGUCUCCCAAAUACAAUGCCUUUUUUGGCAACAUUUUUCUAAUAAUGUAUGGGCCUUUCCAGUUGGGAGAAAAUUUUCCUUUUUCUUCCUGAUGAUGGGGGAGAAUACGCCUCAAAACGAGUUGACCCACUUCAAAAUUUCUAGGCCACACUUUCUUGUUGUAGGCACGGGCCAUUUUUUGUUGGUACCACUGCUCGUGGCAGGCCGCGGCCAUUCGCUUUUCAUCAAUCAGGGUUAACUGUUCCAAACGGGUUUUGACCCACUCACUGUCUUCAAUUUCAGCCUUAACAAUAAUCCGGAAAGAAGGUAUUUCUACCUCUGCGGGUAUUACGGCUUCAGUGCCAUAAACCAAUAGGUAUGGGGUUGCUUCGACCGAUGUGGGAACCAUAGAGCGAUACCCUAACAACGCAAAAGGCAACUUUUUAUGCCACUGUCUGGAACAUUGAAUCAUCUUUCUCAAAAUCUUUUUAAUGUUCUUAUUUGCUGCUUCGACGGCACCAUUGGCUUUAGGCCGAUAAGGAGUAGAGUUCGGAUGCGUUAUUUUGAAUUGUUCGCAUAUCUCUCUUAUUAAAUGACUAUUCAAGUUUGCAGCUUUAUCUGUGAUGAUGGUUGUAGGGAUACCGAAAUGACAGAUAAGAUUGGAGUGCACGAAAUCUACCACAACUUUCUUGGUGAUAAAUUUGAGCGUGAUUGCUUCAACCCACUUCGUGAAAUAGUCGAUGGCAACUAGUAUGAAUCUGUGUCCAUUUGAAGAUUUCGGCUCAAUCGGCCCAAUGACAUCCAUGACUCAAGCAACAAACGGCCAAGGUGCUGACAUGGGAUGCAGUUCUGUAGGCGGUGCAUGAAUCAAAUCACUGUGCACCUGGCAUUGAUGACAUUUCCAGACGAAACUAAAGAAGUCUUUUUCCAUAGUCAUCCAAUAAUAACCCGCUCGAAGGAUUUUCUUUGCCAAAACAUACCCAUUCAUGUGGGGUCCGCACGCUCCUACGUGCACUUCAUACAUGAUUUUUCCGGCGUCUUCGGCAUCCACACAUCUUAGCAAGUUGAGGUUCGGGGUCCUUUUAUACAAGACAUCACCACUCGAGAAGAAACCACUUGCGUGUCAUCUAAUGGUUCUCUUUUGGUCUCAACUGGCUUGCUCGGGGUAUUCUUUAGUUUUCAAAAAUCUUUUGAUGUCAUGAUACCAUUGCUAAACAUUUGGUUCUGCCUCAACUGUAUUACAGUAGCUGUGUCUUUCCCUGAUUUGAUUUUUCGAGGGAUCAAUGUGGGCAUUGCCUGGGUAUGGCAGCAUCGAGGCUAAAGUGGCAAGUGCGUCAGCUAGUUUAUUGUGGCAACUAGGGAUGUACCUGAACUCUAUUGACUUGAAUCGCUUUCCAAGAUCUUCCACAUGUUGCCUAUAAGGAAUAAGCUUGACAUAUCGGGUUUCCCAUUCUCCUUGAGCUUGUCAGAUAAUUAGAUCUGAGUGUCUCGUGACUAAUAGUCCUUCAACAUUUUGGUCGAUUGCCAUGUUCAUACCCAUAAUACAGGCUUCGUACUCGGCAGUGUUGUUCGUGCAGAAGAAUCGGAGUUGUGGCAGGAUAAUUCUGACCAGUGGGUGAGAUCAAGAUUGCCCCAAUUCCAACACCUUUUGUGUUUACUUCCCCAUCAAAGAACACUUUCCAUGAAUUGGUGUCUUCACAUAUUGCCUCAACUGAAUUUGUCACACCUCCUUUCUUCACUACACCCCGAAGAGGGUGUAUAUAAGGGAGUUUUUUCCAACUUAAAGUGACAAUCGAAAUGGGAUUAUUUAUUUGAAGAUUCAGAGUCGCCACUUGGGAUAAUUAAUGGUGUCCCAAGUCACCAGUUGAAUCCUGAAUCGAGGAAAAGCUUGACUCAGUUUAACAGUAUGCGAACCAGAAAUCUGAGUAAGGAAUUUUGUUAACCCAGGAGAAGGUGUUAGGCAUUACCGAGUUUUGUGGUUCUAGCACGGUCGCUCAACUGUUAUAUUCGGAUUAAUUAUCUGAUUUUAAACAAUUAUGAACCUAUGUGCAGAUUUUAGUUUUAACCGCCUUUAUUCAUUUGUUUUGAAGAAAAUUGCAACAUUAUUAAAACACAUCUCGAACCAAGUCACAUAAAUGCACCAGUGGUUUUUGACAUAUCGUAACAUCGUUGAGAUUUGGAUUUGGGCCAAAUAAAUGCGCACCCGAAUUUAGGAAAGUAAUAUUAUUAAAUGACGUGCCUAAAGCAACUACGCGUUUUAUGAAUAUUAAAGGCCUAAGCAUGCUCCUAAGGAUCCAAAAACACAUCCAUAAGCAAUGUCUAAACAACAUACAACUCCAAUCAUUACAAAAUUCAAUUGACAUUGUUACUCAAUCCCAAUAUCACUUUAGUCUAAUCCACUUUCAUGUUUAGCCCACAAAUCGCACAACUUAUUACUUCUCGUCAAUUUUCCAACUUAUAUUCUUGCAUCCUAAUUUCGAAACAUCUUCUUUUUACCAAAAACGUUUCUUAAGACUUGAUUCACCUUCAUGUUAUCAACUACAUGGAGCAAUUGCUCAAAACACAGUAAACUCCGCUAAGGCUACACACCAUAUCAACCACAAACUAUUUAAAUCAAACUCAGACAAUUUACACAAAAUUAAAUAUAUAAACACAGAAUCGUACCAAGAGCAAAGUAAAGAGCAUCAACUCACAUAAUCAGCCAAAUAAAAUUAUGAGCAGACAAGGUCGCUAAAAUUGGAAAAUGUAGGAACAUGGACCUUAAGACAGAAACUAACAAAGCUAAAAUGAAAAUUCAUCCAAAAUCUCAAAUCGUCACAAACUCAUGUUUUACUCGGUUCUUAAUUUCACCUUUUCGAACUCAGCGAAGACGUAUUCAAUAAAAUGAAGAGUGUCCAUUGACUGUCAUUAAUCAGUGAAAUUCCAUAAUAGUAACCGAUUACUUAUUCAAUUUCAGCAACUAGGCUCGACAUAAUUAUUGGAACAAAGCAGCCAUUCGAUAGUCACAUAUCAACGAAUCCACAUGAUCACACCAAAACAGAGCAAGAAAAACUGAGGGACGAGACUAACCUGAAAGAAUCUUUAAAAACAAAUUUCAGAAUCGAAAAUAACCUCGCCUCAAUCUCAAUACCCAAAUCGUAAACUCAGUCGGACUAAACGGUGGAAAUUCUGAACUCCACGGCCCCUCAAUCAGUUUCCAUGAAAGAACAGUCAAAACAAGACUGAAUCUCUUUUUUUCUUAUUUUUGAAUUAAACCAAACUAAAAAACAAACUAAAAUCAAAGAUGGAAAACCAAAAUCAGAAGAUUAAUUAAGGUUGAAUUAAGUGUGAAGAGGGUGAGGAAUGACUGAUUUUUUGGGGGAUAAACAGUGGUGAUUUGCUGCGCUGGUUCAGGGAGGUUGAAGAUGAAGGGGUGUCGCCGUUUUCCAGCCACUCGCCGGUGAGGUAGUAGCGGAACGAAGGGGUGAGGCGUGGGGUUUUCUGGUUUGUCGGUUCUACUGCUAAUGGCGUCGAUGGUCCGUUGAAGAAGAAGAGAGAGACGAUAUGGGUAGGGUUAUUUUGGUCGAAGAUGGCUGAUGAUGAAGGAUGAGCUCAAAGGGGCGGGGGUAUGUGAAGAAGACGAUCCGAAGGGGGGAGGGGUCAUGUAUUUGUAGCGCAGCUUUUGUGUGAAUAUGCGUUACUUUUUUUUUCUUUUAGAUUUUUUAAGCCUUACUUUAUAGAUAGAGUCUAGGUUUAGGUAUAUUUUUAUGUAUUUAGCCUAUUAGUCCCUAGAUCUUUUGUGUAUUAGGUCCUUAGGAACUUUUCAUUUUUUUUAUUUGUUUUUGUUCCAAAGAAGAGUCUAGAAGGGUCCCUAGGCUUAACGGACUAAUCCGAAUUGGG